AGUAACACGUGAGCAAUCUGCCCUUCACUUUGGGAUAACCCCCGGAAACGGGAGCUAAUACCGAAUAUGACCACUUCACGCAUGUGAUGGUGGUGGAAAGUUCUGGCGGUGGAGGAUGAGCUCGCGGCCUAUCAGCUUGUUGGUGGGGUAAUGGCCCACCAAGGCUUCGACGGGUAGCCGGCCUGAGAGGGUGACCGGCCACACUGGGACUGAGACACGGCCCAG
RNAcentral lists this ribosomal RNA (225 nucleotides) under uncultured bacterium. RNAcentral describes it as "partial 16S ribosomal RNA". It matches the Rfam family "Bacterial small subunit ribosomal RNA", at positions 109 to 334 of the family's 1533-position model. The record is from RNAcentral.